Molecule: transfer RNA, 73 nt
Filed under: Felis catus (domestic cat)
Lineage: Eukaryota; Metazoa; Chordata; Mammalia; Carnivora; Felidae
Also listed under: 5 other names
Rfam family: tRNA
About the family: Transfer RNA (tRNA) molecules are approximately 80 nucleotides in length. Their secondary structure includes four short double-helical elements and three loops (D, anti-codon, and T loops).
Source: Rfam by way of RNAcentral
ACCUAGCUGGCUCAGUCAGUGGAGCAUGAGACUCUUGAUCUCAGGGUUGUAGGUUCAAGCCCCAUGUUGGGUG